UCACAUAAAACUUAGCACACGUACAUGAAGUUCAAAUUAGCACACAACAUAGGAAACCAUAUACAACAAACGUUGAAAAACAUAAAUGUUAAACGUUGAAAAAUGUAACACAGCCUACACGUUCUGACGACGAUUUCCACUUAUAAUUGUUGGACGCCUGGUUAUCCUUUGCGUUGUUGGGCAACUCCUUCGGUUAUGGCCCAAGGUGUGGCAUACGGGGCACACCAUCUGUGAUGUCGGGGUGCCCAUCUUGGUUGCAAGCAGUAUAAUGCGGCUCUAUGUCUUCAGUCCAAACCAUUUCGUUGUGGAUUCUAGUGUGCUUUGGCCUCCCCUCGACACGGUGAAGAUUACGGUUCGGGAUGAUCUCAGGUCUACCAUGUUGAGCCAAGUCCUCCGUGCCAUCAAUAAGGCGGAAACUAACAACAUAUAUCUUGGCUAUUGUGGACAGCCUAAACAUGGGAUGCACGAAGUGGUACGGGUUGAGGUUGACCGUGUUGCACACUACGUAAGCAUGGCUACACGGAAUAUUCAAGUGCUGGAAGAUGCCACAAGAACAUGAACCAGCCGUGUUUGUGUGAUCUAGGUAGACC
RNAcentral lists this long non-coding RNA (590 nucleotides) under Linum usitatissimum (flax). RNAcentral describes it as "long non-coding RNA (LUSI_LNC004751)". Lineage: Eukaryota; Viridiplantae; Streptophyta; Magnoliopsida; Malpighiales; Linaceae. The record is from RNAcentral.